AAAGAAAAUAACAAUGAUUCCCCUAGUAACGGCGAGCGAAGAGAGAAUAGCUCAAAUUUUAAAUCUGUUGGGUCUUACCUAACCGAGUUGUAAUUUGAAGAAGCGUUUUCUGCAUGUUUGAUUUAGCCCAAAUCCUUUGGGAUAAGGUAUCAUGGAGGGUGAGAAUCCCGUCCGGCCUAAUCAAAUGUGCUUUUACGAUACGUUUUCUAAGAGUCGAGUUGUUUGGGAUUGCAGCUCAGAAUGGGAGGUAAAUUUCUCCUAAGGCUAAAUAUUGGCGAGAGACCGAUAGCGAACAAGUACCGUGAGGGAAAGAUGAAAAGAACUUUGAAAAGAGAGUUAAACAGUACGUGAAAUUGUUGAAAGGGAAACGAUUAAAGUCAGUCGUACUAACGGGGAAUCAACCUUUUGAGGGUGGAAUUGUGGGAUUCAGAGUGCCUUUGUCUUUCACAACCUGCUUUCUUUGGGUGCACUUUCUCGUAUUGUAGGUCAGCAUCGGUUUCGACCGUUAUAAAAUGACUGGAGGAAUGUAGCUUCGAUCUCGUAUUGAAGUGUUAUAGCCUUUGGUAGAUGUAACGGGUGGGAUCGAGGAUUGCAAUGAAUACCCUCAUGGGCUAUCCGCCUGGCCUCUGACAUGUCACUCUGGUGCCGAAAGCUUGCUUAUGGUAUUAUAGUGUACGGUCAAAAGGUUAGAACGGAUUAAAUU
This 703-nucleotide ribosomal RNA is filed under the name uncultured Glomeromycotina. RNAcentral describes it as "eukaryotic LSU rRNA". It matches the Rfam family "Eukaryotic large subunit ribosomal RNA", at positions 58 to 640 of the family's 3401-position model. The record is from RNAcentral. Lineage: Eukaryota; Fungi; Glomeromycota.